GAUGAUGAACCAGACAGAAUUCAGUCCGUCUAGUAUUUGUUUUUCGAUUUUNAGGGCUUUAACGNUUAAAAGCUUCGUUUGUGACCUCUAUCGAGUCUCAUAACAGCUUGGUUUUGUAUGCAAGAGCAAUGUAACAUUCUGCUCCUUUGAGUUUUGACGUACUAGAUGCCUAAGGCGGAUCUUCGCUUGGUAUCUGUGGAACAUUUCAUUGGAAAGGAUUAAACCACAUGUUUUGACCUCCAGGCUAACAAGCCUAGAUGCCGAGAUUUCACAUCUCAUGCGCUCAAAGUCUUUAACGCGCCACAUCGACAAAAGCCUUUAAUGGCAAUCUGUGCAAAAAGUAAUGACCACAAAGUACUGUGGAAUGCACUCAUGGAGCGUUUCUCGAAACAUUCAUAUAACUCUACUUGUUGAGUUAUUAGUCAAGUGGAUUGCUUACCACCUUAAUUGACUACAUAUUGUCGAUGAUCUUUUGUGGCAUCAUGAUCCAUAAUCUUUAGCGGAUUCGAUCAUCAUCAAGUUCUCUAAGUCCUCCAAGUUGGUGUGGAAUUACCAACGAGACUUGAUUUUGAUCAUAUAAACAGGAAUUGUAUGUACGCUAAUGUGAUAAACUUAUUUGGGAUUAUCCCCUAAUGUGGGGACAACAAUAUGGGUCAUGGCAACGGCAGAAAACGUCGUGCCGAUGUCUAGAAAAGAGGGGGAGGUGUUGCCGGCUCUAAUAGCGACACUCCCGGUCUAGACACCAUUUUGUCAAAACUACUCACGUCAGCUCAUGACAUUAAUGCAACCGUUGUGGAUCUUCGGAUCGCUGGUUCAAGAUUGUCAAGCUCCUUUAAAUUGUGAAUGCAUACAAAAAGGUAUGGAAAAUCAAUAUGAGGACAAGAACGUCAUCCUCAUGAUCGCGAAUUUCAAAGAUUCGGAUCCUACUCUAGCUACCCAUGACUUUGAUGUCAUCGGCUAGACAUUGAUUUUCGUUCCAAGUUAUAUGUACUAAGGCGUUGUAUCGACGUCCUUUUGUCUAUUUGUAGACCUCGAUG
RNAcentral lists this long non-coding RNA (1037 nucleotides) under Fragaria vesca (wild strawberry). Its description in RNAcentral is "long non-coding RNA (FVES_LNC004203)". The record is from RNAcentral. Lineage: Eukaryota; Viridiplantae; Streptophyta; Magnoliopsida; Rosales; Rosaceae.